This 203-nucleotide long non-coding RNA is filed under the name Vombatus ursinus (common wombat). Its description in RNAcentral is "lncRNA (ENSVURG00010001324.1)". The record is from RNAcentral. Lineage: Eukaryota; Metazoa; Chordata; Mammalia; Diprotodontia; Vombatidae.
GAGAUAAGGAAGAACAUUAUUAUGCCUAUUUUGCAGGAGAUGAUGGUCAAAUGUGUGUGCAAUAUGAUGGACUGAAUGAUUUCUCCCUUCAAAGUGUAGACUCUAAACAUGCCAUGUUAGUCUUGAAUAAUAUCAACAAUGGGAAAGUGGUCNNNNNNNNNNAUUAUAUCCUCACUUAGAAUAGUAUUUGGCAAAAAGAAGGU